UUAGAACGGAUGUUCGAAAGAGCGUUCGAUCUGACCCUGGGAGUGCGUUUCGCGGCGUGACUUCCGGGCGCGGCACCCGCGAAGUGCCGCAUGCGUGGUCCGGGCAUUCGCGGGUUCGGGCCUCGCGACAAGGCAGGCCGCCGUUCA
This 147-nucleotide non-coding RNA is filed under the name Actinoplanes sp. SE50/110. The record is from RNAcentral. Lineage: Bacteria; Bacillati; Actinomycetota; Actinomycetes; Micromonosporales; Micromonosporaceae.